AAAGGGUGGACAGCAGCCACCAUUUAAGGAAGAAGUCCAGCUGAAUGUAGCUUUGUUCAACUAGCCACAAAUGUGGGUGGGGAAAAAAAAUUAAAAUAACGUAGACGUGUCCAAAGUAAACCCGAAAGGUUGUAAAGUUUAAAAGUCCACCAAAUUGUGCUCACAUUGUAAUUAAAAAGCAAAUGCUGGCACAUCUCUUCCGAGGAGUUAAACGGUUUGAAUUAUGGAUGAGACGGCUUCUUUCAAGCUGAGCCUCUCGUUUGGACACUCAUGGCACCAGGCAAGGACACAGCCUGAAGAAGCUGCAGCUAAUCACCAGACACCCCUGCACUUCUCCCACUUCUGAAACGCGUGUGGGCCCCUGAGAUAAGAAUGAGAAUGUCUCCUGUCACUUUCAGCUGGAGGCCCUGUGAUGGCGCCUGCCUCUUGUUUCUUUCCCCAAAAGUGGAGGCCACGUGCCAAGCUAUGAGUCAGCAGGUAAAAGUGCGGGGCUGCUCCAACCCCGAUAAUCUGAGCUUGAUCCCAGGGUUCCAUGGUGGAAGGAGAGAUCUGAAUCCAGAAACUUGCUUUCCUACCUCCACACUCAUACUAUGGCAGCUGUGUGUACCUGCUGACUCCAAAUCACACACACACACACACACACACACACACACACACACACACACACACCACAUAUACAAACUCACUGUUAAUAAUAAAUUAAAUUAAAAUUAAAAUAUGUGUUUA
Molecule: long non-coding RNA, 726 nt
Filed under: Mus pahari (shrew mouse)
Lineage: Eukaryota; Metazoa; Chordata; Mammalia; Rodentia; Muridae
Description: lncRNA (MGP_PahariEiJ_G0004759.1)
Source: RNAcentral